This 3908-nucleotide long non-coding RNA is filed under the name Brassica rapa (field mustard). Its description in RNAcentral is "long non-coding RNA (BRAP_LNC001845)". The record is from RNAcentral. Lineage: Eukaryota; Viridiplantae; Streptophyta; Magnoliopsida; Brassicales; Brassicaceae.
GUAACAGCCCGAUCCCCCGGCGUCCGACCGGAGUUAUCGAAGGGGCGUUAUGGACACGUGUCUACUCAUUUAGACAACCCUACGUGUCCCGUUACUGGUCCCGAGAGACGAGCGCAUAACCUUCUUUGAAAUACCGUCACACUCACAUCCAUAUACUUCUACUUACAGUCCUGCACACAGGGAAAAAUGGAAAUGGAGGGGGUGAGCAACAAGUUACUCAGUGAAGUGGCUCUAGACCAGCCUGCCCGCAUGACACUCUAUACUACUCUAUGCGGGAACUAGGACUGACUAGCCACUACAAUCAGUUAAUGCAUUUUAUCAUUUCCUAUCACCAUCUGUAAUUUCUACACACACUUCCAUUCAUUUCUAACAACCUAGUAAUCAAUCAAUACAAUGAUCUCACUCAUUGCCACACACGCCAUCCCUAGACUUAACCGACUCAUCUUACCAGUCCGACUCAAUCCUAUCACUUCUUUAACUUCCUGUACCCGACCAUGAGCUAAAACCCUACAAUGCAUAUCCUUUUCGUCUUUUCCUCUUUUCAUCUUUUCCUCUUUUCCUCUUUUCCUCUUUUCCUCAGUGGGUAGCCCCCCACUAGGCUUCUACCCCAUACUCAUGUGGAUUCGCCACAUCUCCUAUGGGUGCCUCCAUAUUCAUGUGGAUUCGCCACAUCUCCUAUGGAUACCUAGCGUGGACUACUUACCCCACCUACUUUCCUUAGACUCUCUAUAUGCUUUCCCACCCAUGCUUAACCUUAACAACGUUCUUUCAUACUUUUACUUAUCCUUUCACUUCCUUAUCGCUAUCGCUUAACCCUUUCCAUUCCCAAUUACUUCCCCUUUUCAUUUCCACUUGUACUAGGACUCAAUCACUAGACGCCACCCGUUAUCGGUGUCACACACAAUACACAUCGCAUUCAAGUUCUACUUCAAUAACUUUUAUAAUCAUUGUUCAUCUAUCACCCUAGCAUUUAUUUCUCUCUAGCAUCCUAACUUCAAUCGCAACCACACAUGGGACAUCACAUCCAAACAUACAAGCAUCACUCAUCAACCAAUCAACAUCACCACAACAUAGAUCAGUUCAUCAAGUCCCGUUAACAGUAUGAGGGUUCUUAUGCAUCAUGAUUCAUUCAUCUAUCAUCCUAGCAAUUAUCAUGUUCUAUCAACCUAACUCUCAAACAGGGUCUAAACAACCUAACUCCAACAUAGAGGAGUAUACAGAAUCAUGAGAGAAGGUUGGGUUCGGGACACUCCACCUUAGCCUAGAUCUGGAUCUGGAUCUGGAUCUGGAGACAAAGGGGAUGAGAUCUGAACAGAUCUGGAACAAGUAAACAAGAGAGACGAGAUCUGGUCACCACCACAACACCACACAUCCACCACCAUCACCACACUCGGACGAUCACCCCAUCACCACUUGGACGACCACCACCACCACCACCGGCGGCUCGGCUUGCUCUCGGGGGACUCACGGCGAGGAGAGAGGAAGAGAACCAACGGAAAGAGAAAGGAGAGGGAGAGGGAGAGAGAGGAGGCGUGAGAGAAGAAGAGAGAAGAGGAAAAGGGAAGCUUGACGGCUAGGGUUUUCUAGUCUCUCUAAAUCUCUGCAGAGCUUCGCUCCAGUUUCAGAAUGAGAGAAAAAUGAGAGGAGGCAGCUUUAUUUAUAGGAAAAGGAGGGAACCCUAGGUCAUUUACCCUAAUGGGCUGCAGUCUUAACGGGCUCUCCUUAAGAAAAUUUUUGGGCUGGGAACCGGGCCGUUACAAUUCUCCCCUGUUAAUCGGAAUUCGUCCCCGAAUUCCAAGCCCUAGACUUCCAAACUUAACAUCCGAUAACAAAAGGAACUCACACAAUCACACAUCAUACAAGGGAGGCACACAAGGCGAGAACAACUUUGCUCGGGGAUCUUUUAAAAACCCAUGAAUGAAUUAAGCUCAAAAAGAAAUUUUGCAAAUACAAUGGAUCCGAUCAAAAUCAUAAUAACGUAUAGAUAUAAUGGGUGGUUUUGAAAUCAUUUUCAGGAGUGUUAGAAGAAACAAAACUUUUACAAACUCUUUUCUUUUAAUGAAAACAAGUUUUUUUUUUUCGAAAACGUCGGAAAUGCUGAUCCCUUAGGACAGAACUAAGGGAUCUUAACCCGCUCUGAUACCAAUUGUAACAGCCCGAUCCCCCGGCGUCCGACCGGAGUUAUCGAAGGGGCGUUAUGGACACGUGUCUACUCAUUUAGACAACCCUACGUGUCCCGUUACUGGUCCCGAGAGACGAGCGCAUAACCUUCUUUGAAAUACCGUCACACUCACAUCCAUAUACUUCUACUUACAGUCCUGCACACAGGGAAAAAUGGAAAUGGAGGGGGUGAGCAACAAGUUACUCAGUGAAGUGGCUCUAGACCAGCCUGCCCGCAUGACACUCUAUACUACUCUAUGCGGGAACUAGGACUGACUAGCCACUACAAUCAGUUAAUGCAUUUUAUCAUUUCCUAUCACCAUCUGUAAUUUCUACACACACUUCCAUUCAUUUCUAACAACCUAGUAAUCAAUCAAUACAAUGAUCUCACUCAUUGCCACACACGCCAUCCCUAGACUUAACCGACUCAUCUUACCAGUCCGACUCAAUCCUAUCACUUCUUUAACUUCCUGUACCCGACCAUGAGCUAAAACCCUACAAUGCAUAUCCUUUUCGUCUUUUCCUCUUUUCAUCUUUUCCUCUUUUCCUCUUUUCCUCUUUUCCUCAGUGGGUAGCCCCCCACUAGGCUUCUACCCCAUACUCAUGUGGAUUCGCCACAUCUCCUAUGGGUGCCUCCAUAUUCAUGUGGAUUCGCCACAUCUCCUAUGGAUACCUAGCGUGGACUACUUACCCCACCUACUUUCCUUAGACUCUCUAUAUGCUUUCCCACCCAUGCUUAACCUUAACAACGUUCUUUCAUACUUUUACUUAUCCUUUCACUUCCUUAUCGCUAUCGCUUAACCCUUUCCAUUCCCAAUUACUUCCCCUUUUCAUUUCCACUUGUACUAGGACUCAAUCACUAGACGCCACCCGUUAUCGGUGUCACACACAAUACACAUCGCAUUCAAGUUCUACUUCAAUAACUUUUAUAAUCAUUGUUCAUCUAUCACCCUAGCAUUUAUUUCUCUCUAGCAUCCUAACUUCAAUCGCAACCACACAUGGGACAUCACAUCCAAACAUACAAGCAUCACUCAUCAACCAAUCAACAUCACCACAACAUAGAUCAGUUCAUCAAGUCCCGUUAACAGUAUGAGGGUUCUUAUGCAUCAUGAUUCAUUCAUCUAUCAUCCUAGCAAUUAUCAUGUUCUAUCAACCUAACUCUCAAACAGGGUCUAAACAACCUAACUCCAACAUAGAGGAGUAUACAGAAUCAUGAGAGAAGGUUGGGUUCGGGACACUCCACCUUAGCCUAGAUCUGGAUCUGGAUCUGGAUCUGGAGACAAAGGGGAUGAGAUCUGAACAGAUCUGGAACAAGUAAACAAGAGAGACGAGAUCUGGUCACCACCACAACACCACACAUCCACCACCAUCACCACACUCGGACGAUCACCCCAUCACCACUUGGACGACCACCACCACCACCACCGGCGGCUCGGCUUGCUCUCGGGGGACUCACGGCGAGGAGAGAGGAAGAGAACCAACGGAAAGAGAAAGGAGAGGGAGAGGGAGAGAGAGGAGGCGUGAGAGAAGAAGAGAGAAGAGGAAAAGGGAAGCUUGACGGCUAGGGUUUUCUAGUCUCUCUAAAUCUCUGCAGAGCUUCGCUCCAGUUUCAGAAUGAGAGAAAAAUGAGAGGAGGCAGCUUUAUUUAUAGGAAAAGGAGGGAACCCUAGGUCAUUUACCCUAAUGGGCUGCAGUCUUAACGGGCUCUCCUUAAGAAAAUUUUUGGGCUGGGAACCGGGCCGUUACAC